CAAUGCCCUUUCCUGUGACCACUAUCAAGAACUGCUCAGGAUUCCUGCCAGCCUGUUAGCCUUUAUCGUUCAGUCAUUUUAGACCUCAAAAAGAACAUUCCAUCAAGGGAUCAGGUUCUAUCAUCUCACUGGAAUGCAAUUUAAGACAUCAUCUCCAGAAAACUGUGCUAGUUGGCAUCCAGCAGUGCCCAAGUAUUAUUUAACCCACUAGAACCUGUGACUGCAUCAGCUUUAUAUCCUGGACCUCAGCCUGGAACAAAGGAGAGCUACACUUGGAUACUAAACACAAGUGGUCUGGAUAGAUUAUGCUGGGAAAAGAAGCCUGGAGCAGGCAGUACAGUGGGAGAACAAGGAGAGAAUGGAGUUGCAGCAGACUGCUCAGGAAUUGUACAUCACCAGUAGCUUCUGUCUCAGCUAAGUGUGGGAGACUGAUACUGAUGAGCCAUUAACAAUGGUGGAGAUUCUGAAUCACUGAAGCACUUGAUAAAAGAAAUGUCGUGGGUGAUGUGAAAAUCUACAUAUGCCCAUGAGAGUAUAUUGAGUUUACAGAAGUGCUUGCCUUGGUGAUCCAAAAAAGGCAGGAUCCGGCCGGGGGCAAGGUGAUUAUUCUGUCUGAUGAGGAGAAUAAGAGCCAGUUUGUGGUAUUGACAGAAGAAUGAAAGUAAAGUCUUGAAAGAUGGGAAGAUCAGGAGCAGUCUGGAGUCAUGGUAUAUGAAUGAACUAGUGAGAGUGGGCACAAAGUCUGAAGAUCUUUGUAGUGCAGCUAAUGUCUAAGGGAGAAUAUACCUACCCUAGAAGAGACAUUAAACAACCAGGCCCCCAAAAGAUGAACUCCAAUCUGCUGCCCCUAAACGCAUUCUCCACUGUCUGGAAGAUGUGCAAAGGCAACGGCACAGCGUUCUCCAUCUCAAAUCCUUCAAAGUGCUGUCAGAAUAAAAGAAUCCCCACCAAAAGCCCCAGGGAAAUCUAUCUGUCUGUAUGGUAUGGUAAUGACUGAGGUUAUUCCAGAUAGGAUUCUGGGAGAAACUCAGCUAUUGAAAUCUAAUGAAUGGAACUGAGAAUUUCUUGUUAUAAUACUGUUUGUUUGAUUGAAUAUAUCCUUGCAUAUAGGAAGACAUAAAAAUAAAUAAUAAAAGCAAGAUAUUAUUUGAA
Molecule: long non-coding RNA, 1152 nt
Filed under: Homo sapiens (human)
Lineage: Eukaryota; Metazoa; Chordata; Mammalia; Primates; Hominidae
Description: long independently transcribed non-coding RNA 1013, transcript variant 8 (LINC01013)
Source: RNAcentral